Molecule: ribosomal RNA, 274 nt
Filed under: uncultured bacterium
Lineage: Bacteria
Description: partial 16S ribosomal RNA
Rfam family: Bacterial small subunit ribosomal RNA
Source: RNAcentral
AUACGAACUGUGCAAACGUUAUUCGGUAUCACUGGGCUUAAAGGGUGCGUAGGCGGGUUUGAAGGUCUGAUGUGAAAGCCCACGGCUCAACCGUGGAAUUGCGUUGGAAACCACAAGCCUUGAGGGAGUCAGAGGUGAGCGGAACUAAUGGUGGAGCGGUGAAAUGCGUUGAUAUCAUUAGGAACACCGGUGGCGAAAGCGGCUCACUGGGACUCUUCUGACGCUGAGGCACGAAAGCUAGGGGAGCGAACGGGAUUAGAAACCCUAGUAGUCC